UACGUAGGGACCAAGCGUUGUUCGGAUUUACUGGGCGUAAAGGGCGCGUAGGCGGUAUGACAAGUCACUUGUGAAAUCUCCGGGCUUAACUCGGAACGGCCAAGUGAAACUGUCAAACUAGAGUGCGGAAGGGGCAAUCGGAAUUCUUGGUGUAGCGGUGAAAUGCGUAGAUAUCAAGAGGAACACCUGAGGUGAAGACGGGUCUCUGGACAGUUCCUGACGCUGAGGCGCGAAGGCCAGGGGAGCAAACGGG
RNAcentral lists this ribosomal RNA (253 nucleotides) under uncultured bacterium. Its description in RNAcentral is "partial 16S ribosomal RNA". It matches the Rfam family "Bacterial small subunit ribosomal RNA", at positions 524 to 776 of the family's 1533-position model. The record is from RNAcentral.